AACGCGAAGAACCUUACCUGGGCUCGAAAUGUUGUGGACCGUGGUGGAAACAUCACUUCCCCGCAAGGGGCUGCAAUAUAGGUGCUGCAUGGCUGUCGUCAGCUCGUGUCGUGAGAUGUUGGGUUAAGUCCCGCAACGAGCGCAACCCUUACCCCCAGUUGCCAUCAUUAAGUUGGGCACUCUGGUGGAACCGCCUCGGAUAACGGGGAGGAAGGUGGGGAUGACGUCAAGUCAGGAUGGCCCUUACGGCCAGGGCUGCACACGUACUACAAUGCCCAGUACAGAAUGAUCCGAAUCCGCGAGGUGGAGGAAAUCACUAAAACUGGGCCCAGUUCGGAUUGUAGGCUGCAACUCGCCUACAUGAAGCCGGAAUCGCUAGUAAUGGCGCAUCAGCUACGGCGCCGUGAAUACGUUCCCGGGCCUUGGUACACACCGGAGUA
This 440-nucleotide ribosomal RNA is filed under the name uncultured bacterium. Its description in RNAcentral is "bacterial SSU rRNA". It matches the Rfam family "Bacterial small subunit ribosomal RNA", at positions 958 to 1383 of the family's 1533-position model. The record is from RNAcentral.